RNAcentral lists this small RNA (29 nucleotides) under Bombyx mori (domestic silkworm). Its description in RNAcentral is "ovarian small RNA-35077". The record is from RNAcentral. Lineage: Eukaryota; Metazoa; Arthropoda; Insecta; Lepidoptera; Bombycidae.
UGGUAAUCUGCAUCCGGUUUGGUAACCAA